AUGAGGAACUGGGGGUCCUGACCUGGACCCUGCUGGUACCAGUAGACAGUGUCGUGUCUAGGGAUAGGAUAGCAUUUCAGAGUGGCUGUUUCCCUCUUUUCUUUGAUCAGAUGUCUUGGGGACUGGAUGACUCCAGCAGCCACUGAACCUGUGGAGGAAGGAGACAGAAGCUGAAGACUCAGCUCGGGAGAGUUUGACACUUCAGCAACAAUUGAACACUGUGGAUACAGGGAUGUCCCACCUGUACUCAGGACUCACCUGCUCCCAGGAGACAAAGCAUGACACGGCAGAGGAGCCUGGUGUUCCAGGCAGAGUCAGGCAGUUCUGUUUUUGCCUUGGGAUUUUGAAGAUCCAUUUUCAGGUGUGUGGGACUUUGUGUGACUCCAGCCUCCACUGGGCCUGCAGGAAAAGCAGAUGGAGGAUGAGCUCAGGAGACAGCCCAGAGGUCCUCCCCAAGGUAAAGUGGAGGACACUGGGGUGGGAAAGCUGAGAAUGGGGCUGCUGUCCUGUGCCCAGGACUCACCUGUUCCGAGGAGACAAAGCAGUGCCCAGAAGAGGAGCCUGGGUCCCAUGGCACAGUGGGCCAGGCGGCACUGCACCUGAUUCAGGGCUUGGUCUUCCUGGGGAAGAGCCGAGUGAGUUCUGGGCCUUCAUUUUCCUGAUGGGAGGGGUAUCCUGUGAUGUGGCUGUCCUGUGUCCUCCCCAGGAAGCCUUCCUUAGGUCUAGUGCCCCACAGACCCUGGACUCUCUACCUGUCCUGCAGAGCUGGAGGGAUGGUUGAAGGCAGAAGCUUCUGUGAUGAUACAGUUACUCCUCUGCCUACACUGCCCCAGCUCACAGGCUGCCCCAUCGCCCUCUUACUCUCCUCUGACCUAGUGCUGCGGUGCUCCAUGCUGGAGCUCACACACAUGCCCAUCAGCAGAGGGCGAGGAGCCUGAUUAAACUUCAGGUUCCUGCUCUUCCUUGCUGUCCUCACAUCAUCUUUCUGAUGCUAGAUUCACACCAAUGUUUCUUACUAUAUUUUCCUGUCCCAGGCAACAUUCUCUUCCCUUUCCUCAGUGGCCAGUGGUGCAGAGUCCCCAAGAUUUAGUCCAUCUGAUCAGAUCCAAAGCAGAGCUGGGUUGUCUGUAAAUUAUGAAGAGUACAGAUUCCUCAGAAAUAAUUCUAGGGCUUUAACAGCUAACAGCACAGAAUUUGUCUUAUUGGAGAUGGGACAGCAGAGGGAGGUAGGGUCACCAUCUGUGCUGGUUUGCAAAAUCUAUUCCCUUGGCUCCCUUCUUGCUUGGUUAAAUUUCCUGGUGCCUGAAAGUAGUCACACGUUAGCCUGAAUGCUUAGCCACUUAGAUAUUUCUUUCAGCAGAUAUCCUAGCGAAUGACUCAUAAUUUUUAUAUUCAAUAAAUUCCUAGAACAGAACACAGUUUUGCCAAGGAUUUUGCUACUUACCACAAGGAUGGCAUUUACUUCAAUUUCCGAUACCUUGUUCCUCAUUUCCCCCUGAGCCUUCACCAGAAUUGCCCUUAAUGCUCUGUUUUCAGGAGUCUAGGCUUUUGCUAGUCUGCUCCUCCCAGUUCUUUCAACCUCUAUCCAUUAGCCGCUUCCCAUUAACCAAAGCUGCUUCUACAUUUGCAGGUAUUAUAGCAACAGCCUCACUCUUGGUACCAUUUUUUCUUUCAAUGUCUUUCCUGCUGACAUAGAGAAAUAUCACAGACUGGGCAAUUUAUAAAGACAAGAGGUUUAUUUGGCUUACAGAUCUGGAGACUGGGAAGUCCAAGAUCAAGGGUCCAUAACUGAUGAGGGCCUCCUGCUGUUAUCCAAGGCAGAAGGAAGGGGAAGCAAGCACCCAAGACAGAGAAAACAGCUGAUUUCAUCCUUUUUAUCAGAAGACCGUUCCCAAGACAUAAUUCACCCCUCCAAUAAGGGCAUUGAUCUCUUUCUGAGGGCAGAUCCCUCAUGACCUAGUCAUAACUGUCCCACCUCCCAAUACCAUUACACUGACAAAUUUCAACAUGAGCUUUUGUGGGGACACGCAAGCAUAGCACACGUGUCUACACUAUGAGUAUUUCCACUCUUAAAUCUAUAUCAAAAAAAAAAAGAAGAAUGCAUAUGUUCGCAAGAAAGAAUUCCACAAGAAUGUUCACAACAACUUUAUUCAUAAUAGUUGAAGACAGACAUAACGUGGAUAUCCAUCAACAGGAGCUUGGAUAAACAAGUUGUGGUAUAUUUAUGCAAUGGAAUAUUAGUCAUAAGAAAGAAUGACCUACUGAUACAACAAUAUGAAUACACUUCAAAACUACUAAUUUUGAAGAAAAAUAAUAAAAAUAUGUUUCCAUUUAUAUGAAACUGAAGAAUAGACAAAGCUAGUCAGUGGUGAUAAAAAUAGAAAAGUUUUUAUCUCUGGGAUAGAAAUUGAUUGGAAAGGAGCAUAAGGACACUUUCUUGAGUGAUGGAAAGUUUUUUAAUAAUCAUUUAGUUACUAUUGCACUGGCGCAUGCAAUUGUCAAAAUGUACCAGGAUGUCCUUGUAUUAAUAUUUGUGUUUUACUGUGUAUUAAUUACACCUUAAAUAAAAAGUAUUACUAAAAAUUAAACAGCUAAA
Long non-coding RNA from Homo sapiens (human), 2596 nucleotides. RefSeq lists it as uncharacterized. The record is from RefSeq and is a predicted model, not a curated record. The transcript is spliced from 3 exons. Lineage: Eukaryota; Metazoa; Chordata; Mammalia; Primates; Hominidae.